CUGGCUCAGGACGAACGCUGGCGGCGUGCCUAAUACAUGCAAGUCGAACGAGACUUUUUAUUUGAUGCUUGCAUCUUUUAAAAAGUUGAGUGGCGAACGGGUGAGUAACACGUGGGUAACCUGCCUUAAAGUGGGGGAUAACACUUGGAAACAGGUGCUAAUACCGCAUAACCAUCAAAACCGCCUGGUUUUGAUGUUAAAGAUGGUUCUGCUAUCGCUUUAAGAUGGACCCGCGGCGUAUUAGCUAGUUGGUGAGGUAAUGGCUUACCAAGGCAAUGAUACGUAGCCGAACUGAGAGGUUGAUCGGCCACAUUGGGACUGAGACACGGCCCAAACUCCUACGGGAGGCAGCAGUAGGGAAUCUUCCACAAUGGACGAAAGUCUGAUGGAGCAACGCCGCGUGAGUGAAGAAGGUUUUCGGAUCGUAAAACUCUGUUGUCAGAGAAGAACGUGUGUGAGAGUAACUGUUCACGCAGUGACGGUAUCUGACCAGAAAGUCACGGCUAACUACGUGCCAGCAGCCGCGGUAAUACGUAGGUGGCAAGCGUUGUCCGGAUUUAUUGGGCGUAA
RNAcentral lists this ribosomal RNA (570 nucleotides) under Liquorilactobacillus vini. RNAcentral's name for it is "bacterial SSU rRNA". It matches the Rfam family "Bacterial small subunit ribosomal RNA", at positions 19 to 563 of the family's 1533-position model. The record is from RNAcentral. Lineage: Bacteria; Bacillati; Bacillota; Bacilli; Lactobacillales; Lactobacillaceae.